CAGUAGCCGCGGUAAAACGUAGGUCCCGAGCGUUGUCCGGAUUUAUUGGGCGUAAAGGGAGCGCAGGCGGUUUAGUAAGUCUGAAGUUAAAGGCAUUGGCUCAACCAAUGUAUGCUUUGGAAACUGUUAGACUUGAGUGCAGAAGGGGAGAGUGGAAUUCCAUGUGUAGCGGUGAAAUGCGUAGAUAUUAGGAAGAACACCAGUGGCGAAGGCGACUUUCUGGACGAAAACUGACGCUGAGGCGCGAAAGCCAGGGGAGCGAACGGGAUUAGAUACCCCCGUAGUCCCUGUCUCUUAUACA
This 301-nucleotide ribosomal RNA is filed under the name uncultured bacterium. Its description in RNAcentral is "partial 16S ribosomal RNA". It matches the Rfam family "Bacterial small subunit ribosomal RNA", at positions 509 to 809 of the family's 1533-position model. The record is from RNAcentral.